RNAcentral lists this ribosomal RNA (484 nucleotides) under uncultured bacterium. Its description in RNAcentral is "partial 16S ribosomal RNA". It matches the Rfam family "Bacterial small subunit ribosomal RNA", at positions 30 to 507 of the family's 1533-position model. The record is from RNAcentral.
AUUGAACGCUGGCGGCAGGCCUAACACAUGCAAGUCGAGCGGAUGAAGGGAGCUUGCUCCUGGAUUCAGCGGCGGACGGGUGAGUAAUGCCUAGGAAUCUGCCUGGUAGUGGGGGAUAACGUCCGUAAACGGGCGCUAAUACCGCAUACGUCCUGAGGGAGAAAGUGGGGGAUCUUCGGACCUCACGCUAUCAGAUGAUCCUAGGUCGGAUUAGCUAGUUGGUGGGGUAAAGGCCUACCAAGGCGACGAUCCGUGACUGGUCUGAGAGGAUGAUCAGUCACACUGGAACUGAGACACGGUCCAGACUCCUACGGGAGGCAGCAGUGGGGAAUAUUGGACAAUGGGCGAAAGCCUGAUCCAGCAAUGCCGCGUGUGUGAAGAAGGUCUUCGGAUUGUAAAGCACUUUAAGUUGGGAGGAAGGGCAGUAAGUUAAUACCUUGCUGUUUUGACGGUACCAACAGAAUAAGCACCGGCUAACUUCGUG